UUCACAUUAACUGUAUUUCCUUUAAAAAUGUGUCAUUUCCAGUUUGCUGCACUGUACCGAUGGGCAGCUUGGCGCUGUGACCUUUUCCUCCCUGGUCGUGACUUCCAUGCCGUCUGCCUUUUGCUGCUACCCUGCUGGGCUCGUAUCAUGAGGCGUACCACUUCCAAUCGAUGUACUCAUGUACCCUCGGAUCACCCGCCAUUCGUCAGAUGUAUCUCCGACUCACAAGGGUCGAGACCUUUCUUCUCCAGGACUGACGUAUCCUCAUUUUUUGCCUUGCAUCACUUCCUUUUCAAGGGAACGGCGUUGCCUGGCUGAGACAAUGCUAUCAUCACUCCUCUCUGUCCGCUCAGCUGUGACAGAUUGAUGCACUGGGGUAAACAGAUAGGGCUGCUACCGCACAGCUUUUUGGUUACUCCAAUGGAGCGGUGCCGUAUUUCACAGGGACAAGAGACAGCGCCGCAUGAGGGCCGAGACUGAGCGUGGAGAUAUUAAUGCCUAUUGACUCGAGGUACCAAGGUGUAGGAGGAAACUCAGAGGGGGCCAGGUCUUCUCUAUUGCUGCUCCUAUCCCUACACAUUAAAGAGGCUCUUUCACUGUCUGCUUUAAAAACUCGUCUUAAAACUCAUAUUUAUUCUUUUGCUUCCAAUCCCAGGGAGACUUAAAUUAAACUUGUUUGUUUUAAUUGGUUUUAUUGUGUUUUUGUUUUACAAUUCUUAAGACAGAUUUUUAUGUUUUGUUCUUUUAAUAUAUGAUUAUAGUUUGCAGUUAUGUGCAGCACUUUGUCUCAGCUGUGGUUGUUUUAAAGCACUUUAUAAAUAAAGUUAUUAUGGUUAUCAUGUUGUAUAGUGGAUAUUGUAACCUAUUUGACUGCCUCUUACUGUAUAAAGUUGUAUCUUAUCUUACUUCAUAUCAGAUUUUAUUGUUUUAUUUUGUUUUGCAACAUUAUGCAUGCAUUGCACCCAAGUCCAUUGUAUUGUAUAUUAUCUUGUAUGUAUUAUAGUAUUAUAUGAUACAGUGUUAUAUCUUCUCUUGAGGCAUCCAACUGUAUCUUAUUGCAUUAUAUUUUAUCCUUUUGCUUGCAUUAAUACCACACUUCACUGUAUAUCGUAUCGUCUUUACCUGAGCUUUCAAAAGACACGUGGAAAUCUAAUAUUUUGUAUUGACCUUAUGUCUGCUUUACCUUUAGGAUUCAGCACCAAGCUCAUGUUUAACAAAAACAAUGAAUGAGUUGGUUGGGGAGGUUAUCUCUGGGCAUGGGGUCCAGUUGUUAUCUGAGGAAAUUGCCUCUGGCUUUCCAAAAGAUGUGCUAUCCAGAUAUACCAUUUGUUAUCUUUUUCUCAUCAGAUAAAAAGGCACCAAAGCAUUGGCUGCACUUUAAAAAGAGGCUGUGGUUGACUUCUGGACAGAGGGCUCCAACAGCAUGAAAUGACUUCUGCUAAACCCCAGUUGGUUUUCCGAAAGAUUUAGACAUCAAGGUGAAAUAACUAUCUAAAUCCAAGGGUGUUCAAAUCAUCUGUCUCAUCUCAUGUUUUAUAAAUGCCACUGCCACAGAACCUCGCAGAACAAGGUCAUUGUGGACCUCUGAUCAUCCGGGUUUGCCGUAGUUUAAAGCCUAUCCUAAAAGGCCGCUGUGCCUUAGAUCUCCUCAUUUCCAUCAUUCUUUUUAUCCAUCUCAAAUGUUUAUAGUGGUAUAACACAAAUACCAAUCUCCGAUAUAUUUCUUCUGUGUAGAAAUCCAAGUACAUCUAUUGGAGCUAACUGGAGGCAAAAUUAUACAUUUUUUAAAGAUUUUCAUAACCUGAAGCCAGGCAGGUAAAGCUCUCCCCUGGUUAAAUCUUCCUGGUUCUCUCAUUUGGAGUUAGGGUCUACAUUUUUAAAUACAUCCAUUGAAUACAUUUUGCUUUAUUUACAUGGUGUUCUUAAGAGGCUAGGAUCUGAACUAGUUAACUCUCUCAUUUAAAUUUAAUGUAAUUUUAACAGCUUUACAGACAACUGGUUUUCAACAUGCUUGGCAGGAUUUUUACCUCAAGCUCUGUCUCUCCCGACAAAAAAACCUUCAACCAGAAGCUAUGAAUCAGCCAUGUUGUUAAAGUCUAGAACAUCAGCCUGAACAGAAUAAGAGGAGGUUUGUACCCCUCUGCUUUAGUUGGAGGCAAGAAGGAAGAGUUUGUCCGCUUUGUUGUGUCUUUCCUGAAAGGAACAUGCAGUUAAAGUUAGAUUGUAGUUGGAUUUUAAAAUCAAAAAGCCCAACACUAACAUGAGGGAACAAACCAAAAUGCACAAAAAGAAGAGCACCAGAAAUAAGUAAGAAACUAAACACCAACAAAUGAACUUAAAUGGCAAGACCCUAGUGACAAUAAUGAACAACAUGGAAGGAACUGAAUAUGACAAGACCUUACUGACAUAAAUAAAUACCGAAAUGAUCAGAAAACAAACAGAAUAUAAACCAAAUACCAUUUACCUGACUGCAUUUCAAAGUUUUUCUCAUUGCAUAAUAGUAUUACUGUUACCAGGAACAGAUAAAAGUGUCCAAAGAAGGUAAAAACAACAUUUUGUAAAACAACCUUUUUCCUUUUGGCUCCACAUCUUUGAAAUAAACCGUCUUGACUUCAA
Girardinichthys multiradiatus is the source of this 2616-nucleotide long non-coding RNA. RefSeq lists it as uncharacterized. The transcript is spliced from 2 exons. Lineage: Eukaryota; Metazoa; Chordata; Actinopteri; Cyprinodontiformes; Goodeidae. The record is from RefSeq and is a predicted model, not a curated record.